Molecule: long non-coding RNA, 1431 nt
Filed under: Populus trichocarpa (black cottonwood)
Lineage: Eukaryota; Viridiplantae; Streptophyta; Magnoliopsida; Malpighiales; Salicaceae
Description: long non-coding RNA (PTRI_LNC004119)
Source: RNAcentral
CUCUCCAAGUCUUCUCCCUACACGCUCUCUCCAUUUUGUUCUCCCAUUUUAUAGAGACCAAAGUCCAUCAGGCAAGACCAUUUUCGUCCUUGUCUAACCUACACAACCUUCACUACCCCGUCGUCUUUUAUCUUCAACGAACUUGGACUUUGUUUUCAUCUCAAGGUGAUUGCCAUACUCAUGGCUAAUAUGUCUUCUUUGUCUUUAGUCGUAGCACUGGCAAUUUUCGCCUUUGUUUUUUCUCAUGCAUUUUCUACAUCACGGCGAGUUUUAGAGCAUCCAAAGGUGCAAAAUGGCUUCCGAGCGAAGCUCAAACAUGUUGAUUCGGGUAAGAACUUAACGAAAUUUGAGCGUAUUCAACACGGGGUUAAGCGUGGAAGACACAGGUUGCAAAGAUUCAAAGCAAUGGCACUGGUAGCAUCUUCUAAUUCUGAGAUUGAUGCCCCAGUUCUUCCCGGGAAUGGUGAGUUCUUGAUGAAGCUAGCUAUUGGCACGCCACCGGAGACUUAUUCUGCAAUAAUGGACACAGGUAGCGAUUUGAUAUGGACUCAGUGCAAGCCUUGCACACAGUGUUUUGAUCAACCCACUCCUAUUUUCGAUCCAAAAAAGUCCUCUUCUUUCUCUAAGUUAUCAUGUUCUAGCAAAUUAUGUGAAGCAUUACCCCAGUCCACUUGCAGCGAUGGCUGCGAAUAUCUGUAUGGUUAUGGCGAUUAUUCUUCAACACAAGGAAUGCUGGCAAGCGAAACUCUCACGUUUGGCAAGGUUUCAGUUCCUGAAGUUGCAUUCGGUUGCGGAGAAGAUAACGAGGGAAGUGGAUUCAGCCAGGGUUCUGGCCUAGUGGGGCUUGGCCGUGGACCCUUGUCAUUGGUUUCUCAACUCAAGGAGCCCAAGUUCUCAUAUUGCUUAACCUCUGUUGAUGACACAAAAGCCAGCACACUAUUGAUGGGAUCUCUAGCAAGUGUGAAAGCAUCAGACAGUGAAAUCAAGACCACCCCUUUAAUCCAGAACUCAGCACAGCCAUCAUUUUACUAUCUUUCCCUUGAAGGAAUAUCAGUGGGUGACACUAGCUUACCUAUCAAGAAAUCUACCUUUUCACUCCAAGAAGAUGGAAGUGGUGGCCUUAUUAUUGACUCUGGCACUACAAUAACCUAUUUAGAACAAAGUGCUUUUGAUUUGGUAGCCAAAGAGUUCACCUCUCAGAUUAAUCUCCCGGUGGACAAUUCCGGCUCGACGGGGCUCGAAGUUUGCUUCACAUUGCCAUCAGGCUCAACCGAUAUAGAGGUGCCUAAGUUGGUAUUCCACUUUGAUGGAGCAGACUUGGAAUUGCCAGCCGAAAACUAUAUGAUUGCCGAUGCAAGCAUGGGAGUAGCUUGCUUGGCCAUGGGGAGCUCAAGUGGCAUGUCUAUUUUCGGCAAUAUUCAGCAACAGAAC